Sander lucioperca (pikeperch) is the source of this 123-nucleotide long non-coding RNA. RefSeq lists it as uncharacterized. Lineage: Eukaryota; Metazoa; Chordata; Actinopteri; Perciformes; Percidae. The transcript has 3 exons. The record is from RefSeq and is a predicted model, not a curated record.
CUUCCCAAAGUUUGUGACGCAGCUUUUUCUCUCCGUGUGAAGCUCCAGCUGAAGAGAAAGUUGAACAUAAUGAAAGUGUUUGAACUCAUUUCUAAAGGCUGACCCAUCAGAGACCAGACCCUG